Molecule: unclassified non-coding RNA, 351 nt
Filed under: soil metagenome
Description: partial contains 5.8S ribosomal RNA, internal transcribed spacer 2, and large subunit ribosomal RNA
Rfam family: 5.8S ribosomal RNA (bases 1-120)
Source: RNAcentral
GAUGAAGAACGUAGCGAAAUGCGAUAAGUAAUGUGAAUUGCAGAAUUCAGUGAAUCAUCGAAUCUUUGAACGCACAUUGCGCCCGCCAGUAUUCUGGCGGGCAUGCCUGUUCGAGCGUCAUUUCAACCCUCAGGCCCCCAGUGCCUGGUGUUGGGGAUCGGCCCAGCCUUCCUGUAAGGCCGCCGGCCCCGAAAUCUAGUGGCGGUCUCGCUGUAGUCCUCCUCUGCGUAGUAGCACAACCUCGCAGUUGGAACGCGGCGGUGGCCAUGCCGUUAAACACCCCACUUCUGAAAGUUGACCUCGGAUCAGGUAGGAAUACCCGCUGAACUUAAGCAUAUCAAAAGCGGAGGA